AUACAUUCAAGAAAGAAAGAUUCUUAGCCAUGCACGACAAGAGGCGUGCAAAAGUUACACGCCACGCGGUAUUUCGAGUGAUUAAAGGGACUUUCGUGGAACAGCUUCUGGAGCAAAGUUACUAGCAACAAGUUUAAGACCAUCAGUUUUGAUGACUUAUCUUUCCAGCAUGACUGGCGAACAUGUCUAAAUGUUGGGAAAAAUGCUUUUGUAACCGUAAGAUUUUAAAGCAAGAAGCUAAUGCUCCUAACAUUGUAAAGAUCAGUAGAAACUGUUUUAAUCUUUCUUCUUUUAUACCUUAUGGCACCGAAUAUUUUUUAGUCUGUGGAAAAAUUACUUUUCAUUAAUUAACAAUAAUGAAAUCAAUACAUAUUUUUUUAUGGUUUUACAAAGAAGAUAUACUGUGCUAAAAGAAGACCAGUUUCACAAUCCACAAAAAUUUUCUUGAAACAUUGCAAGUCUUUUCGUUUGUUGAAAUAAGAGCAAGAGGGAGACAGAAAAAUUCAUAGUAACAGAGAAUGAGCCAAGGAUAAUACAGGUAGAACAAAUAAUCUAGAGAUCAUUACCGAUUGUCGUUACGAUAAGAACAUACGAGACGAACGUAAACGUAGCUGGAAGAUUUAAAAGGACGUGUUCACUUUGUGCCUGUUGUCUCGUUUACGACGCCAUUGAAGCUAACGUAGCUCGUAAACCAAGGAAACUGAACUGCUGGAUCGUUGCACGGAAUACGAAAUGCCCGGUGAACAUUUUAAAUUCCAUCGAAACACGUUUAAUUAGCACGUGCACCAAUGUCUCGUGACGUCUCACGGAAUCAACGAGCCGAGAAAACUCAUCGUGCGACCAAUUCCGGCCGAAUGAUCGUGCUAUUUUCGCGUGUACUGCACGCACGUCCGAGAUGACGUGACUGUGCCAGGCCGCUUCUUAUUCGAGUCGCGUCGCGAAUACGAUGGUUUGUAGGCGAAAUUCUCGAAAUUGACGAUCGGCGUGCCGCUUUUGGCAAUUAGGAAUCAUGGAUGCGUAGGUGGAGCUUUGUGACGAUUUCCCUUCGUUACAGUGGUACACAGUUUCCCUUUUAAAUAGAGGAAUCUGGUGUGAAUAAUUCUUUAAUUUUAGAAUUUUUAGGUAAUUCCAGUAUGGUUGGCCCAUAGUUUUUGACAAUCAACUGAGUCAACGAUUAUUCUUGCGUAUAGGAAAAUUCAUUACAGUUUCGGUGCAUUAAAAUGUUAUUUUCAAAUCGAGAACAGCGGAACAAUUUUUAGCGGAUCUUCGAGAUUUAUAUCUAAUUUGAAUAUGAAUAAUUCUAUCUAGAAUUUUUUAAACGAUUCAGCUGAUUGACAUAUCUACAGUUUCUGACGAUUGAACCGCUUGAAAAAUAUAGAAAAUUGAAGAAAGACAGGUUAAAAUUGGACAAGGAAAAUUUAGAAUAAAUUUUACUCGACCGAACCGAAGACAAUUAACCGGCCAACCAUUCCAUAGGUCUAUACCUGUUACAAGCUCGCUAUUUUCCUGCGCUUUGGUCCUCGUUCGUGCGCAAAACCAAAUUAACGGUUGAAUAACUGUGUCUCUUUCUCUAUCCAUCUCUUUUCGUAACCAUUCGAACGUUUAGAUCCGCGAACCGUUCGAAUGAUUGAUUACACGCCCGAGGAUUGCUGACUUAAAAGAUCAUUAAAAGAUCGAUGGAAAUCUGCGAUGCAGCUGUGCAAUGUAACACAAAAACACGCGCAAACACCGAGAAAAUACGUCACGGUAUAUUCCAAAUACACGUGCGCGUGUAACACGAAAAUCUCAGCCAAGUUUGGCCUCGGGAAAGAUGCUGAAUUACCAGAGGAAGAUACGCAGAAAGUUUCUAUUCUGCGUGCUGAUACGGCCGAUAACAAUAGAAGCAGUUGUUUCUACUUUUGGAUCUUUCUUCCACAAUGCACCGGAUCAAGCCUUUUCACAGUUCAUACGUAGCUUCAUCCGAUUAAACGAGAUAUAGCAAAUUUACAGACGAUCGCAAAUAUUCCGACGAAGUAGGAGAUAAUUUUAUUAUAAAUAAAUAAAGAAUUAUUAAAAUAAUGAUUAAUACGAAUUACUGUGGAUGUUUGUCGUUGAUAGAAAUUCAUAAUUAUAUGAAAACAAGUAAAAAAGGAGGAAUAUGAAUAGAGUUUUGUUUCAUCUAUGUAUUUAAUAUUAUAACGAAAAUACUAUACUCUGAAUGUUUCAUAUACUUUUUAAUAUUCUGCGCAUACCUUCAAAUUUGUCGGAAAUGCGUAAAAAUCCUCAGUCUAAAUAUUAGUAUUUCUUGAAAUGCACGCUUUCAAGGUCAUUGAUUACAAAGCCACGAAGCAAAAUAAGUAGAAUGAAGAAAAUAAUUCCACGUCGAAGUGUAUCCAGGCACCAGCUGUGUAAAGGCGCGUGCAUAGAGUGUGAAAUGUGGAAGCGCAUGUGUGUGCAAACCGCGUGGAGAAGGACAAGAUCGUGCAAAUAUCAUAAUUAUACUUACCAUAGCGCUCCACCUUUAAAGCAAUCCAUGCAGACCGCGUUGAUUCACCCUCCUGUUUGAACCUUUUGAUUGUUGAUCAAUGCUAUCGAUCAUUUUCUCGAAUAUUGAAUAAUUGCACGAUAUUACGAUGUUAAAAGAGAACGUGAUGAGAAAAAAGAUCAAGCAAAUGAACGAGGUCUUUCACGUUUCUCGACCGGAUCCCAACAAUAUUUCUUUCUUCUUCUCUAAUGGAAGAAAAGGAAAACGAAACUAAAGAAAGAUCACUGAAUAAAAAUUCAAUAGACGGAGAAGUCUAGAGGGUGUCUAAUUUACAUAACAAUUUGCACAGGGAAUUAAUUCGAGGAGGUUCUGUUGUCCCUUUACACGUGGGACCAACAGUCGUGGAAACCGUAUGAACGGAAGAAGCGCGGUUCGCGUUAAAAGGCGAUUUCUCGCCGAGAUAAAACACCAGUGAUUUGUUUUGUCUCUCUCUCUCUCUCUCUCUCUCUCCCACCUCCAUGAUAACGGUGGAAAUUAAUGAAAGAGCAACGUUUAUAAGCGAUUACGAUAUAGCCAGUAGGAUUUCAUAAGCGAAAAGGAGAAAAAAGCAUAUGUAAUGGAAACGAAAAAAAGAAAAAGCAGAAAAAUCAGACAUAUACAGAGUGUUAAAAAAGAUAAGCGAUAUUCAUGUGGUGUGAAUUUGAAUAUCAAAGCAAUGGAGAAAAUUUAUGAAGAAAUAAAUGACAUUUAAUAUUCACCAAUCUAAUAAUUUUACGCUAGAAAUACAUCGAUAGCCGUAUAGAAUGAUAAUGGAUAUCUAGAAUUGUCUUGAAAUCACACCACAUAAAUGUUACCUGCUUUUUUUAGCGCACUGUAGAAGAGCAUUUUUUCACGCACUGAUUACCGAGAUACCUUUCCUGCUUUUUUUGUAUACGAUUCUUAUCGCCUCUCGUUGAAACCAUGAGAGCUCUCACAGAGAUUAUCCCGCAAUCAGCGAAGUUAGGAGUGGAGAAUGGCGAGAGGAACGAUCCUACAAGUCUUUCAGUAAAGAAAACACGGUGAUGCGAGCACGGCGUGAUUUUACGCUGCUGGAAAAGCGAUUUUGAAUGAACUACCCCGGCCAUUCGUGUGCGCUUGUUGUUUCUUAUUUUCAGAAACAGACGAUUCACCGCGAACAAGAGACGUCUUGUCUUUUCAAGAUUAAAGGAAACGAAAUAGAGUUUUUUCGCUCGUGAUUCUUUCUUUGGUCGAACGAGAUCCAUCGGAGUUUCCUCGGUAAAGUAACAAGUUGAGCAGAAACGAAGGAAGUAGAAUAGGAUCUUAGUCGGGCAUAGAGAAACACAAGACGUUUCCGCGACCAGAACCGGGAAUGCGAAACGAUACAUAUCGAUGAUUCGAUAAACAUCCUAGUUUCUAUCUUUGAGCAGCAAUAUAACUUGAUUAACCGGCAUGCACCGAUGUUAAAAUAUCGAGCUUGUAUCCCUGAAACGAGCCCAGAACAAAGGAAUUUUACGAUGGCGCUUAAAACUUUCCUCCCUUUCAUUACGCUCAUAAUACCUAACGGGCAAGGAUUAGGAUAAGGAAAACACAAUCUUUGUGCGGGACGGAAUUCUAACUUCUCCAGAUUGAUAAUAAUCUAUUUGGAAAUUUAUCUGAGAGCAGAGUUACGAUGUUAAAUAUUAAAAAGGAAAUAAGUCCAGUAUACAGGAUAUUUCGGUAAUCGUGAAAUUCUGUCUUACCAGGAACUCGUUUCACAAAUUGAAAUGUAAGCAAAAUCAGUAAGUAAACGGAAAUUUUAUCUAAA
Bombus impatiens (common eastern bumble bee) is the source of this 4268-nucleotide long non-coding RNA. RefSeq lists it as uncharacterized. Lineage: Eukaryota; Metazoa; Arthropoda; Insecta; Hymenoptera; Apidae. The transcript is spliced from 2 exons. The record is from RefSeq and is a predicted model, not a curated record.